CCCCGCCUUAACUGAUGACAUUCCACCAUUGUGAUUUGUUCCUGCCCCACCUUAGCUGAGUGAUUAACCCUGUGAAUUUCCUUCUCCUGGCUCAGAAGCUCCCCGACUGAGCACCUUGUGACCCCCGCCCCUGCCCACCAGAGAACAACCCCCUUUGACUGUAAUUUUCCAUUACCUUCCCAAAUCCUAUAAAACGGCCCCACCCCUAUCUCCCUUCGCUGACUCUCUUUUCGGACUCAGCCCGCCUGCACCCAGGUGAAAUAGACAGCCAUGUUGCUCACACAAAGCCUGUUUGCUGGUCUCUUCACACUGACUCGAGUGAAAUUUGGUGCCGUGACUAGGAUCGGGGGACCUCCCUUGGGAGAUCAAUCCCCCGUCCUCCUACACUUUGCUCUGUGAGAAAGAUCCACCUACAACCUCAGGUCCUCAGACCAACCAGCCCAAGAAACAUCUCACCAAUUUCAAAUCCGGUAAGCGGCCUCUUUUUACUCUUUUCUCCAGCUUCCCUCACUGUCCCUCAACCUCUUUCUCCUUUCAAUCUUGGUGCCACACUUCAAUCUCUCCCUUCUCUUAAUUUCAAUUCCUUUCAUUUUCUGGUAGAGACAAAGGAGACACGUUUUAUCCGUGGACCCAAAACUCCGGCGCCAGUCACGGACUGGGAAGGCAGCCUUCCCUUGGUGUUAAAUCACUGCAGGGACGCCUCUCUGAUUAUUCACCCAUGUUUCAAAGGUGUCAGACCACGCAGGGACGCCUGCCUUGGUCCUUCACCCUUAGUGGCAAGUCCUGCUUUUCUGGGGAAGGGGCAAGUACCCCAACCCCUUCUCUCUGUGUCUCUACCCCUUCUCUGCUUUUCUGGGGGAGGGGCAAGUACCCCUCAACCCCUUCUCCUUCACCCUUAGUGACAAGUCCUGCUUUUCUAGGAGGCAAGAACCCCCAAUCCCUUAUUUCCACACCCUGACCUCUUAUCUCUGUGCCCCAAUCCCUUAUUUCCACACCCCAACCUCUUAUCUCUGUGCCCCAAUCCCUUAUUUCCGUGCCCCAACCCCCCUUCCCACUUUUCUGGAGGAUAAGAACCCCCGAACCCCUUCCCUCCGUGUCUCUAUGCUCUCUUUUCUCUGGGUUUGCCUCCUUCACUAUGGGCAACCUUCCACCUACCAUUCCUCCUUCUUCUCCUUUAGCCUAUAUUCUUAAGAAUUUAAAACCUCUUCAACUCUCACCUGACCUAAAAUCUAAGCAUCUUAUUUUCUUCUGCAAUGCCACUUGACCCCAAUACAAACUUGACAGUAGUUCCAAAUAGCCAGAAAAUGGCACUUCCAAUUUUUCCAUCCUACAAGAUCUAAAUAAUUCUUUUCGUAAAAUGGGCAAAUGGUCUGAGGUGCCUGACAUCCAGGCAUUCUUUUACACAAUAGUCCCUUCCUAGUCUCUGUGCCCAGUGCAACUUCUCCCAAAUCUUCCUUCUUUCCCUCCUGCCUGUCCCCUCAGUCCCAACCCCAAGCAUCGCUGAGUCUUUCUAAUCUUCCUUUUCUACAGACCCAUCUGACCUCUCCCCUCCUUGCCAGGCCAAGCUACGUCCCAAUUCUUCCUCAGCCUCCGCUCCUCCACCCUGCAAUCUUUUUAUCACCUCCCCUCCUCACACCUGGUCCUGCUUACAGUUUCAUUCUGUGACUAGCCCUCCCCCACCUGCCCAGCAAUUUACUCUUAAAAAAGUGGCUGGAGCCAAAGGCAUAGUCAAGGUUAAUGCUCCUUUUUCUUUAUGCCAAAUCAGAAGUGUUUAGGCUCUUUUUCAUCAAAUAUAAAAACCCAGCCCAGUUCAUGGCUCGUUUGGCAGCAACCCUGAGACGCUUCACAGCCCUAGACCCUAAAAGGUCAAAAGGCCAUCUUAUUCUCAAUAUACAUUUUAUUACCCAAUCUGCUCCUAACAUUAAAUAAAACCCCAAAAAUUGGAAUCUGGUCCUCAAACCCCACAACAGGACUUAAUUAACCUCACCUUCAAGGUGUACAAUAAUAAAAAAAAGUUGCAAUUCCUUGCCUCCACUGUGAGACAAAGCCCAGCCACAUCUCCAGCACACAAGAACUUCCAAACCCCUGAACUGCAGCAGUCAGGCAUUCCUCCAGAACCUCCUCCCCCAGGAGCUUGCUACAAGUGCCAGAAAUCUGACCACCAGGCCAAGGACUGCCGGCAGCCCAGGAUUCCUCCUAAGCCACGUCCCAUCUGUGUGGGACCCCACUGCAAAUCGGACUGUUCAACUCACCUGGCAGCCACUCCCAGAGCCCCUGGAACUCUGGCCCAAGGCUCUCUGACUGACUCCUUCCCAGAUCUUCUCGGCUUAGCGGCUGAAGACUGACACUGCCCGAUUGCCUCGGAAGCCCCCUAGACCAUCAUGGACGCCGAGCUUCAGGUAACUCUCACAGUGGAAGGUAAGCCCGUCCCCUUCUUAAUCAAUAUGGAGGCUACCCACUCCACAUUACCUUCUUUUUAAGGGCCUAUUUCCGUUGCCUCCAUAACUGUUGUGGGUAUUGACGGCCAGGCUUCUAAACCUCUUAAAACUCCCCAACUCUGGUGCCAACUUAGACAAUACUCUUUUAAGCACUCCUUUUUAGUUAUCCCCACCUGCCCAGUUCCCUUAUUAGGCUGAGACACUUUAACUAAAUUAUCUGCUUCCCUGACUAUUCCUGGACUACAGCUAUAUCUCAUUGCCGCCCUUCUUCCCAAUCCAAAGCCUCCUUUGCAUCCUCCUCUUGUAUCUCCCCAACUUAACCCACAAGUAUAAGAUACCUCUACUCCCUCCUUGGUGACCGAUCAUGCACCCCUUACCAUCUCAUUAAAACCUAAUCACCCUUACCCCACUCAACGCCAAUAUCCCAUCCCACAGCACGCUUUAAAAAGAUUAAAGCCUGUUAUCACUGGCCUGCUACAGCACAGCCUUUUAAAGCCUAUAAACUCUCCUUACAAUUCACCCAUUUUACCUGUCCUAAAACCAGACAAGCCUUACAACUUAGUUCAGGAUCUAUGCCUUAUCAACCAAAUUGUUUUGCCUAUCCACCCCGUGGUGCCAAAACCAUAUACUCUCCUAUCCUCAAUCCCUGCCUCUACAACCCAUUAUUCUGUUCUAGAUCUCAAACAUGCUUUCUUUACUAUUCCUUUGCACCCUUAAUCCCAGCCUCUCUUCGCUUUCACUUGGACUGACCCUGACACCCAUCAAGCUCAGCAAAUUACCUAGGCUGUACUGCCGCAAACCUUCACAGACAGCCCCCAUUAUUUCAAUCAAGCCCAAAUUUCUUCCUCAUCUGUUACCUAUCUUGGCAUAAUUCUCAUAAAAACACACAUGCUCUCCCUGCCAUUCUUGUCAGACUGAUCUCUCAAACCCCAGCACCUUCUACAAAACAACAACUCCCUUCCUUCCUAGGCAUAGUUGGUGCAGUCAGAAUUCUUACACAAGAGCCAGGACCGCACCCUGUAGCCUUUCUGUCCAAACAACUUGACCUUACUGUUUUAGCCUAGCCCUCAUGUCUGCGUGCAGCGGCUGCCGCUGCUUUAAUACCGUUAGAGGCCCUAAAAAUCACAAACUAUGCUCAACUCACUCUCUACAUUUCUCAUAACUCCCAAAAUCUAUUUUCUUCCUCAUACCUGAUGCAUAUACUUUCUGCUCCCUGGCUCCUUCAGCUGUACUCACUCUUUAAGUCCUACAAUUACCAUUGUUCCUGGCCCGGACUUCAAUAAGGCCUCUCACAUUAUUCCUGAUACCACACCUGACCCCCAUGACUGUAUCUCUCUGAUCCACCUGAUAUUCACCAUUUCCCCAUAUUUCCUUCUUUCCUGUUCCCCACCCUGAUCACGCUUGAUUUAUUGAUGGCAGUUCCACCAGGCCUAAUCGCCACACACAAGCAAAGGCAGGCUAUGCUGUAGUACAAGCCACUAGCCCGCCUCUCAGAACCUCUCAUUUCCUUUCCAUCCUGGAAAUCUAUCCUCAAGGAAAUAACUUCUCAGUGUUCCAUCUGCUAUUCUACUACUCCUCAGGGAUUAUUCAGGCCCCCUCCCUUCCCUACACAUCAAGCUUGAGGAUUUGCCCCCACCCAGGACUGGCAAAUUAGCUUUACUCAACAUUCCGGAGCCAGGAAACUAAAAUACCUCUUAGGCUGAAUAGACACUUUCACUGAAUAAGUAAAGGCCUUUCCUACAGGGUCUGAGAAGGCCACCGCAGUCAUUUCUUCCCUUCUGUCAGACAUAAUUCCUCAGUUUAGCCUUCCCACCUCUAUACAGUCUGAUAACAGACCAGCCUUUAUUAGUCAAAUCAGCCAAGCAGUUUUUCAGGCCCUUAGUAUUCAGUGAAACCUUUACAUCCUUUACGGUCCUCCGUCUUCAAGAAAAGUAGAAUGGACUAAAGGUCUUUUAAAAACACACCUCACCAAGCUCAGCCACCAACUUAAAAAGGACUGGACAAUACUUUUACCACUUUCGCUUCUCAGAAUUCAGGCCUGUCCUCAGAAUGUUACAGGAUACAGCCCAUUUAAGCUCCUGUAUAGAUGCUCCUUUUUAUUAGGCCCCAGUCUCAUUCAACACCAGACCAACUUAGACUGUGCCCCAAAAAAACUUGUCAUCCCUACUAUCUUCUGUCUAGUCAUACUCCUAUUCACCAUUCUCAACUACUCAUACAUGCCCUGCUCUUGUUUACACUGCCGGUUUACACUGUUUCUCCAAGCCAUCACAGCUGAUAUCUCCUGGUGCUAUCCCCAAACUGCCACUCUAAACUCUUGAAGUAAAUAAAUAAUCUUUGCUGGCAAGGCUAGGCUGAACCUCCUUGGGCACUCUCUAAUCAGAUGUCCUAGGUCCUCCCAAUUCUUAGACCUUUUAUACCUGUUUUUCUCCUUCUCUUAUUCCAUUUAGUUUUUCAAUUCAUACAAAACCGUAUCCAGGCCAUCACCAAUCAUUCUAUACGACAAAUGUUUCUUCUAACAACCCCACAGUAUCACCCCUUACCGCAAGAUCUUUCUUCAGCUUAAUCUCUCCCACUCUAGGUUCCCACACCGCCCCUAAUCCCACUCAAAGCACCCCUGAGAAACAUCGCCCAUUCUCUCUCCAUACCACCUGCAAAAAUUUUCGCCGCCCCAACACUUCAACACUAUUUUGUUUUAUUUUUCUUAUUAAUAAAAGAAGGCAGGAAUGUCGGGCCUCUGAGCCCAAGCCAAGCCAUCGCAUCCCCUGUGACUUGCAUGUAUAUGCCCAGAUGGCCUGAAGUAACUGAAGAAUCACAAAAGAAGUAAAAAGGCCCUGCCCUGCCUUAACAGAUGACAUUCCACCAUUGUGAUUUGUUCCUGCCCCACCUUAGCUGAGUGAUUAACCCUGUGAAUUUCCUUCUCCUGGCUCAGAAGCUCCCCGACUGAGCACCUUGUGACCCCCGCCCCUGCCCACCAGAGAACAACCCCCUUUGACUGUAAUUUUCCAUUACCUUCCCAAAUCCUAUAAAAUGGCCCCACCCCAUGUCCCUUCGCUGACUCUCUUUUUGGACUCAGCCCGCCUGCACCCAGGUGAAAUAGACAGCCAUGUUGCUCACACAAAGCCUGUUUGCUGGUCUCUUCACACGGACUCGAGUGAAAAUACACACGCACACACACACAAAUGGACAUUUACCCCACUCCUGCUUUUGUGCUAUUGUGGUCAUGCAUAGUAUUUCUUUUUUGCUGUUGUUUUUCUUGUUGUUUUCACUGUCAUACAGGUAUUUAUGAUGGAAACAGAAUCAGAGUCUGACCUUCCUGACUUGAAGUACAAGGUUUUUGGGGUUUUUCAUUCGUGUUUUAUGUGUUUUUUAAAAAAUUAUUUGUGUUUUUAAUCGACAAAUAAAAACUGUAUACACAUAUGCUUCCUGAUUUAUAAUGGGGAUACAUCCCAAGAAACCUACUGUAAGUUGAAAAUAAUGUAAGUCAAACAUGCACUUAGUAAACCUAGCUUACCAAACAUCAUAGCUUAACCUAGCCUAGGUUAAACAUUCGUGGGACACUUACAUUAGUCUACAGUUAGGCAAAAUCAUCUAAUACAUAGCCUACUUUCUAAUAAAGUUAUUAGAAAGGAUUUUUAUUCAAAAAUCAAAAUAUGGUUUCUACUUAAUGUUUAUUGCUUUCACAUCAUCGUAAAGUGGAAAAAUAUAGGUCAAGCCAUCGUAAGUCAAGGAAUGUUGGUAUAUCGUAAUGGUGUACAUGAUAUUUUGAAAUAUGUAUACUUUAAUAGCUAUAGUGAGCUAAUUAACAUAUGAAUUGCCUCACAUUCUUAUCAUUUAUUUGUGGUGAGUAGAUAUAAAAUCUACUCUUUUAGCAAUUUUUAAGUAUGCAAUACACUAUUGGAAGGGUCUCUGGCUAAGUUAGUUUUCUUUCUGAACGGACAUUUCUCACUAACAAGUGCAGAAAUUCCCUGUGAACAGGGGAAGCGGUAAUGCUGACAACAAAACUCAGAUGUAAAUUUAGAAUAAAAAAGGGCUCAUGGUUGACUGCUUUGGGCUAUACUUCCAUAAUCUCUCAAAAAAAAAGUAAGGUAUUGUCCUCUGGAGUAUUUUGAUGGAAAAUUUUAGGAAGACUUGAUAAUCUGUAAAAGUUGUAGGCUUGAGAUCCUAAAAGAUCUGUAUCUAAAUUCAUGUAUUCUACAGAAGUUUACUUAAUUACUCCAGGUUUAUUUUUCCUUACUUGUGAGGUAAAUGUUGUAAUACACAUCUACCUCACAAAGGUGUUGUGAGAAUUCAAUGAUAUGUUAUUUAUAAAGAAAGUAUUGAUUACCUUCCUUCUGUCCCAGUGAUAGAUCACAACAAGAGAUCAUGAAGAGGGCAUGGCCGCCAUGUCAUUCUGGAGAGAGACAGAGUAAAACAAAGAAGACAGAGUCUUGUUCUGCAACCCAGGCUGGAGUGGAGGGCAGUGGUGUGAUCUCGGCUCACUUCAACCUCCGCCUCUUAGGUUCAAGUGAUUCUCCUGCCUCAGCCUCCCGAGUAGCUGGGACUACAGGCAUGCACCACCGCGCCCAGCUAUUUUUUGUAUUUUUAGUAGAAAUGGGAUUUCACCAUGUUAGCCAGGCUGGUCACGAACUCUUGACCUCAGGCAAUCCACCUACCUCGGCCUCCCGGUGUGCUGGGAUUACAGGCAUAAGCCACCAUGCCCAGCCCAAAAAGUCAUUUUAUUUAUUUUUUAAAAAGAUAUUGCCAAGUUUGAGAGGGAAAAAUGAUUCAUUUUACAACUGUGACUAGUACCAGAUCACAGAUAACAUAUGUAUAAAAAACUUGCCUUUGUGGUAGUAACAGAGGCAGUUGGAAGAAAGCAAGCAGAGAAAACGACCAACUGUUGAAGCUUUUAUCACCACUUUGUUCAAACAUGCACUAGAACAAUUUGGAAUGGUAUUAAUUUUCAACUUAAACCUAUAAUGUAAUAUCUCAAGAAUUGUUACAGAAAGACUGAGUAAAUAUAUACGAGAAAGAGCUCUAUAAUUUAAUUAUAUUAUAUAUUAGAGAAAGAGCUCUAUAUUCCACUAUAACAUGUGAUUUAGGCAUACCUCUCUCCUAGAAGAAAAUGCAAUUCAAGAGGCAAAUUCAUGAUUUCUUUUUCAGUGGGUUGGGUGGGCUAGCUUACACUAACUUUCAAAAACUCAACUUAUGACCAAAAUUCUACAAAGAAGUUUUAUGACUCAGGAUGUGUGUGUUAAUGUGCUUAUUUUAACAGCAGCCUCUCUACAAGUCUCCUAACUUAACCUGAUGGGAAAACACUUCCUACCACUAACAGCAUCUACUUGAUUACUGAUACUUUGAUCAUGGAGUUUGGGCAUGCCACUUGAUAGAAAUUUGAAGAGCAAUUAUAUUUUUCAAAAAGAGUUUUGAAUAAUGUUAAGAUAGAUUGCAACAUGACUAUCAAUUCUUCCCUUCCCAUCAAAGGAGAGAGUCCGUUUAUCCAGCCUUUGAAUCUUGAUUAUUCAUGUGACUUGCUUCACCCAAUGUAACAUUAAUAAGCACAAUACAAGCAGAGGCUUGCCAAGAACUUGGUUUGUUUCUAAUGCUUAGAAGAAGAAUGGUGUAUGCCAUAUUUCUGCAUUUAGAACUCACGUGGAGACAUGUGUGGCCCAAUUGCUUCUCUUUCAUCUCAGGCAAUAACCAGACACGGGACUGAGGCCAUCCAUGACCAGCCAGCCCUAGCCAACACACAACACACAAGCUGAUCACAGAUGCAUGAGUAAGCCUGAGACCAGCCAAGACCAGCCUAGAAUAGAACUGCUCAGCAGCAAUAAAAACUAAAUAAAUUGUUACCUUAAGCUACUUUUAGAGCUAUUUGGAAGUGUAUUUUUGUGCAGCUAACAUUUACUAGCAGAUAAAAUGGUGAUUGUUUAUCUCUGUUUUAUUGAUGUUUUAAGGAAAUUGUUUCUAUUAAAAGGAAAUAUCUGGUCUUUGUCACGUUAAAUCAGGUUUAGCCUGAAGUUGUCUCCUUAAAUUUGCGGCACAACUCCCACCCUGCAAUACUUCAAAUUGUUUCACCUUUUUUGACAGAACCAAGGUAUAUCUUAAAUGUACUUGAUUGAUGUCUCAUGUCUCCCUAAAAUGUAUAAAACCAAACUGUGCUCUGACUACCUUGGGUACAUGUUCUGAGGGUCUCCUGAAGGCUGUGUCACAGGCCAUGGUCUUUCAUAUUUGGCUUAAAACAAAUCUCUUCAAAUAUUUUAUGUAGUUUGACUCUUUUCCUCAAUAGAACUCAUCAUUUAACCAGUUAAGUAUUUUGAGUUAGUUUGGGAUUAAACACGAGAGUUUUGACAGGGAGCUGAAACAAUAGUAGUUUCAUCAAAAGUUGAUUCUUGGUGCAUGUAAUUUUCUAUUACAGUGAACACAGAUAAUAAUGAUGCAUAUGUCUUUACCUAGAUUAGAGAAAGGAAGAGAAAAAAUAAAAAUUUUGGAAAUGAGAUAAAAAGAUAUUGAUCUCACUGAUGUUUCUGAAUCUAAGACUGAACUCAAUUAUUAGUUGUAUUUACUGCUUAUUAGAUUUACUAAGAAAGUUCUUUAAGGUACUUACAGCCCUAAAAUUAUUUGCAAUAUUCAAUAGCAAGGGACUUAAAUACAGUCCUGAUUACUCCAUCACAAAAUGCCAAAAACAAUUAGGAUCUUAAAGGAACUACCCAAAUAGGUUUAAGAUAUCACUCAGGCCAUAAAAAUGUUUUUAAAAUUCACAUCACAAAAUAGCCAAAUGACAUAUCAGAAACAAAAGCAAAAAAGUCAUCCUAAUUCAAGGCAAUUACUUUAGCAAUUCAAAAUAAAAUGUUAAAAGUGACCAAAAAACAAAUGCAAAAUAUUUUAAUGACUUUAAAUGGCUGUAUAAUUUCCUCAUCACUUCACUUGGCAGAGUUAAGAUGGCAUUUAACCUAAGUUCACAUCAUUAAAAAAAACACUGCACCAUGAUGCUUUUCUUAAUAUGCAUUCUCAAAUUAGCAUACAGAGAAAAAUGAAACUAUAGUAGAGACGUAAAUUUAAUCCCUAUUUAGGUCACUAGGCAUUUAUUAGCCCCACCACAGGUUAAUACACUUGCAUUUGCAUCUGUUUCUAAAUGCUAAUUAUCUGACCUCAGAACACUCACUUAUGGGCUUCAUUUAUUGAAAAACAAAUCCCUAUGAUUUGAUCGUAGAGUAACUUUUAAUGUCUAACUUUACGUAGUAUAUUACAGUUUUCAAAACAUUUUUAUAAAAAGUAUUUUGUUUAUUUACAGCAACUAUAUAUCAUAGAUAUUAAUGUGUAUAUUUUGCAUUUAAGCAAGUUGGAGUUCGUAAGGUUGAAUUACUUGAAAUGUACAAAUAGAUAGUAGUGAAUAUUUAAAGUACAUUUUUAAAAAUAUGACCCAGAAAAAUAGGUGGCAUUUAAGAAAUAUAAGCAUGGUAUCUAUCUUACAUGUAUAUUAGGAGUGGACAGUUUUCUAAGAUUAGAAGCAAACAGUUGUCAAGCAAGGGUUCUAAUUUUUGUAAGUCUUGUGGGAAAGAAAGAUAAUAGAGGGUUUCAUUGCAAAGAUAUAAAACUACUCUAGAUAAUUUAAGCAAAAACUAAUCUAAUAAAUUGGGUUUUCCAAAUUAUUGAAACACCUUGAGAACUAGUGCCUGGGUAGGCCUGGAGAAAUGACUCCAGGAACAGCAUUACAGAACUCACCUGCCCAGUGGUAACAGUGCCCAGAUUGCUCUUCUCCAUUAUCCAGCCAGAGUUCCAGAUCAGCCUGAAUACUUCACCUCUGGGAAGACUUUGCAGAACCUCCAGAUUUAUGCCACCUCUAUAACCUGUGUAAUAUUAUUACAAUGCAUAUUAUGUUCUAUUUCACUUACAGUCAGCCCUCCUUAUCUGUGGGUUCCACAAACAUGGAUUCAACCCACAGUAAAAUGAAAAUAUUUGGGGAAAAAAUUAAUGUUUGAGUCUGUAUUGAACACGUAGACUUUUUCUUGUCACUGUUCCCUAAACAAUACAGUAUAACAACUAUUUACAUAGUAUUUACAUUAUAUUGGGCAUUAUAAGUAAUUAAAGAUGAUUUAAGUAUAUGGAAAGAUGUAUAUAGGUUAUAUGCAAGUACUGUGCCAUUUUAUAUAAAGCACUUGAACAUCACAGAUUUUGGUAUCAAUGAGGGGUGCUGAAACCAAUUGCCCAUGGAUACCAAGAGACAGCUAUAUUUGUUUCAAUGUGUACCUCUCCUUCUAAACUCAGUUCUUAAGCAUAUAGUAUCUUUAUAGCUAUACACCUAGUGUCUAUCAGACCCUAAACUAUGGUAGGCCCUCAAUACAUUUUAUUGUUAUAGGUAGAUAGAUAGGCAUGAGUAGGGCAGGAGAGGGCUCUCCCUCCACCCACUAGAAAUGUCAAGUGAUGUUUUAAAAAUUGUCACACUGCCUCUCAGAAAAUGAUAAUUCAGCAACCGGGGAGAGACAAUCUUCUGAUGGUCCACACCUAUUAACAUUAAAGUGUUAUUAAAGGCAGACCCCAGAAAGAAGAAACUUACUGGGCAUGCACAUUAAGAGAUAAAAACGGCAAAAUAUUAUCUUCCACGUACCCACAACUGGAAAAAAGGAAGAAAGCUUCAGGUGGGCAUAUGUACUCUUCCUAAACACACUGCGCAUGCUCACUUCCCAACUGUAGAGAGGGCUCUGCACAUACGGGAAGAAUCUCGGGAAAGAGGUGAACCUAUAAAAGGCCAAGAAUCAUGGUUGAACGGGACAUUUGACCUUCUCUCUUAAACCUUCAUGUGCCUGCUUGGGUCUCUUCCAACUGCACCUUCCUUUCUUUCCUGUUCUAAGGCCUUUUUAAAUAAACUUCCACUCAUGCUCUG
RNAcentral lists this long non-coding RNA (11301 nucleotides) under Homo sapiens (human). RNAcentral's name for it is "HSALNT0075678". Lineage: Eukaryota; Metazoa; Chordata; Mammalia; Primates; Hominidae. The record is from RNAcentral.